This 12570-nucleotide long non-coding RNA is filed under the name Fragaria vesca (wild strawberry). RNAcentral's name for it is "long non-coding RNA (FVES_LNC001874)". The record is from RNAcentral. Lineage: Eukaryota; Viridiplantae; Streptophyta; Magnoliopsida; Rosales; Rosaceae.
GAAGCUGAGAUUUCCUAUAACCACAAUGAUACGCACAAUGUCCUCGUUUGCCACAAAAAUAGCACACAACAAUACUAGAUCGAUUUUUCUGGCUAAAGAAACUCUCAUUUGCUAGAGAGAUACCAUUAGUGUGAGGGUGAAUAGACAUAGAACCUGAUGAAGAAGGGCUAAAAGAGUAAUUCGGAGUAGUUGAAGGCUCAUUGCUUUGCAUUCGUGGCCCAGAAUUGGUGGAGGGUGAGAGAGAACCAUUACUAUCCAUUGUAUUGAAUGCCUUAACAUAGCUAGCAGCCUGAGACAUGAAGUUUGCAUGAGGAGAUACUCCCAUUUGAGUAACCACUUGCUGAUGGCGAAGGGGUUGCAAUGUAGAAUUAAUAUCAAAAUGAGGCACAAUGGAAGAGUUCACAAAUCCUGUGUUGGCAACCAUUGUUGUAGAUGUAGGAACAUAGCCAUUUUCAGAACCGGAACUAGCUGGAGGUCUAUAUGCAUUUCCAUUCAUAGCAGAAGAAGAAGGUGCAUGACCAGCCUGAGCAGUGGAGCUAGAAUAUGAAGAACCAGAUGCAUCAUACAUGCCUUUUGGGAGACCAACACCACCAAAUUGGAUCGAGUUCCUUGUAAUACAAAAUUUCCACUUCUGAAACUAUCACCAUGUACCACCAUCUCAGUCUUUGACCUCUCAAGAAUGGACUUCACAGUUUGUUCAAUCUCAUAUUCAGCAAUCAAUAAAAGAGGGUGUAAACCCAAUUUUGGGUUUCUUCUUUUUAGGUAUAUUAUCAUAUUAUGCUUUACUUAAUAGGGUUUACUUAAUAGGUACAUUAGAAACAUAAGUAGUAGAGUGUAAAAUGUUCUCUCGAUUAGGAUGAGAAAUGAUUUAAUAAUGUACCUAAAAAGAAGAAAAAUUAAUCAAAGAAUAAGAACGUGUACCUUGCAAUUAGAUAUUUUUCGACUAUGUAGAGAGACACUAAAUGUGAGCUUAGGAAUGAAAAGUAUAAUCAUAUUACAAAUGACAUACUUCUGUAUAUAACAUAUAUAUAUAUACACUCAAGUUUGUAAUAACAAGGUAAGAAAUUAAAGAAUGUAAUUGAUUAUGACAAAGUUAACUCCAACUAAAUUUUAGCUAGUAUUUGAGUUUCAAAUUGAUGCUAAAAUUGAGAAAUAUACUAAAUUUAGCUUUCUACUGUCUGAAGGGCAAAUUAGAGAAACUGAAAAAUGAAGAAAACUAUUAAUUAUAGACAUUUGCUCUAUAUGGUAUGUUUGCUUAUGUGGAGUGGGUGUAAUAAAAGAAAAAUAUGUAUGGGUUUAUCUUAAAAGAGGUCUAGUAUUUUGGGUUUUUAUCUAAUUUUCUCUAGUUUUCAUGGUAGCAUAUUCAGAGGGCAAACCAUGACGAACUAAGUCUGUUAUGUCUUCAUUAGAAAUAAAAACUCCAGCCACAGAAAGUCGAUCCCUUAUAGUUUUAAACCGUUCCAUAUACUUAUCAAUACUAUCAUUACCUUUCUGAAUUUGCUGCAUAGAGAUCUUGAGCUCAUAAGCUUUGUAUUUCGGAAGUUUACCAUAUCUCUCCUCAAGCAAAAGCCAUACUUCUUUUGAUGAUCUACUCCCAAAAAUGAAUGAAAGAGCAUUAGAUGACAUAGUAGCAGCAAGUAAAGUAAUCAAAGCAGAGUCAUUUUUCCUCCAUUCGUUAUACUCUUCUGUAAGCUCAGUAAUACUAGCCUUUGUUAUGGGCCCAUAACCCACAGGUCCCUGGAUCAUAACCAGGCUCUAAUACCAUGAAAGUUGAGCUAUUGUAUAAGAAUGAAGAAAGAAGAAGGCAAGAAGAAAAUCAGAGAAAACUAGAAAGACUUUGUUCAUUUACAGACUUGGAUAUAAUAUUACAAAGAGAAUACUUUUAUACUAUCUUAAAAUAACUACAUCUGGCUUAAUACCUAUUAUACCCUUAACAUAUGAAAAUAGUUAAUGACUGAAAUAAAUUAAUUGAUUGCAUCCUUGAUUUUACACCAAUUGUGCUAUAUAUGCCCAUUCGGAAGAUCUGCUAACCCCCAAGCAUCAUAUUUUUGUCCAUUACGCAUCAGGCCUCAAACUGCUCAGGGCGUAGAAAAUUUAGAUCCAACACUCUUGGCACUCGAGUUGAAUUCAAUAACUCAUAAAAAAAAAGUGAGGAUGUUAGUUAACAAGUAAAGGGGGUUUGAAUAGGUAUUGGUUGUGUUUGAAAGGUUAUGAAUCGCUCUUUAUGAAAUAUGAAUAUUAAGUAAUAAUAGCAUGACACUUCGCUUCGAAUUCGAUAUAGAAAGAGUUUGACCCUAUGUUGCACGGACACGGACACUGACACAGUGACAUGGCACAGCGCGACACGCCGAUACGGCAAAUUUAAAAAAUCUAAGAUACGAUACGGCUUAAACACGGCAAAUAAUUAAUACUUUAUGUAUUUUAAUACAAAAAAAUACUAAAAACAUGAGCUCGAGACCAUAUGUUGUUAUCAGCAAAGAGAUGCUGCAAUUGAAUGGAGAUUAAGAAACCCGGUGACUAAUUUGAAAUGGAAAAAGGAGAUGAAGGAAGAGGGGAAGAGGGGAAGAGUAGAAAAGAGAGAUUAAGUUGUAGUUUACAAACUAGAUCAGAGAGUUUAAACAUUGGUUAAUAGGGAUACCCCUAAAUUAAGACUCGGUAAACUCUCACAACUACUUAAUGACUAAAUCAACUAAGCUUAUUCAGUGGAAUUAAGUAAUGUAAUGUUGUAAACAAUCAACAUUGUGUGAGACAAUUAAGUCACAAUGCGCUCUUGCCCAAACAACUGUCUAGUUCAUCCCUAGAAUAAUAAGCAGCAACCUGUCCUCUUGGAGUUGGAUCCCUAUAAAUUGGUUACUUGCACACUACAAUACUCAUCAUCAACUCUUCAGUAGUUUACUUGCAGCACUAAUUACUCUAUAGCCAGCAAGAGUAAUAUUUAGGUACUUGCAUUCUUGAUCAAUGGCGCCCUCCAAAAGGACAAUAUGUUGUUUGUGUGCCUCUUGGUUGCUGCAGUGGCAGUAGGUGUUCCGGUAGCUCUAGGGCAAACCACUGGAGGCCUCAUCGAGCCUCUUCUUGGUGUCUUUCGCAUCCAAGGCAUUCAUGGUCUAUUGCAGUGCCAAUGGCCGUGCCAGUGUCGGGACCAACGGCACCACUCCUGCACCAGCAUUUCCAAGUAAGUUGAUUACUAAUAGAUCACUAUUUAUUGUUAAUCAUUUUCCUAUAAUUAACAUGCAUGCUGGAUUUGUUUGAAAAUCAUAUGCAAAUAAAUAGAUGGAAAAGUCCAACUACGUUGCGGAGCGGGAAAUGGUGUUGUGACUGGAACUGUGAAAACCAAUUCCAACGGGGGACGUUUUCAUUCGUGUUAGACAUUUCCUUCUUUACAGAACGUCAAAUAUUGAUGGCAAUCAUGGCAUAUCGUGUUGUGGUUACAAGACCACUCGGAAGUUGGAAAGUCACCCUCCCUCAGUCCCUCCAACCGGAAGUCUUACAUCCACCUUGAUAUCACUUGGAAACACCACCUUUGGCUCAUUCCCGACCAUCAAUAUUGGUAUAUCCGGCUUCAAUUUCAUCGUAUAACCCAAUUUUAAACAAUUUACCUGUUACUUUUGGAGAUAAUUGAUUAAGGUUAUGCACUACGUAGUAUACAUACAUUUUCAACUAUUUCUUCCAUGUAUAGUUAAUGUAACUGGAGAUUUUGGAAUACAGAUUUUACAGCAAGUAGUUAAUAGUCACAGUGCAUGUUGUUUCAUCCGAACUCAUGAAUAUAUGGAUCACAGUUCUUUUAGUUUUUUUUUUUCACUUCUUCGAAAGUAAGUGCAUGUGUACGUAAAAAGUAUGCUUGUUUUACUUAGAUAUAUAUUUGCCGACUACAUCUAGAAUCACAAGUUACAAAUUAUGACCGAUGAAAUUAUGACCAUUUUAUGCUGUAGAGUUGGGCAAUAUAGGAAGAUGCUCCCGCCUAAUCUUUUAAUUAUCAGAAACACGUUGAGAUCUAAUUAUUUAAGGUUGACUAGCAAGUAGCAACAAGAUUGAACCACUAAUCUAAAACUGUUGUUCACCAAUCACCAUUCAACUUAUUAACAUUCAAUAUAUAGCUAGAGCCUUCAUUCUUUGAAGCCUAGCUCGAUGAUUCCAUAUUGUACGUAUUCAUAUAUACUCUUACAGUUUAAAACUGCCUUUUACAUGGACUACCCAUUUUGAAAUAUUGGAACAAGAUCAUGAAUGAAUGACACAUUUUUGGGAGGUUUAAAGUGAAAAAUCAAACAUUCCAUUUAUAUCUAGAUAUCUAGGUCUAGCCCAAUGCGCCAAAUAUAUAGUGUCUACUGGUACUGAAAUUCUGAGCAACUAGUCAUUUUUAGGUUUCUGUCAAUUUAAUCAAGAAAAUUUGCGGCAACGUACGUACUUGAUUGACCUCCCUGGAGCUAGCUUGCAGGCCAGGCUUCCCUAUAAAUUGGUUACUUCGCACACAGCAAUCAUCAAGACAUCAGUUAACUUCUAAUAUAUCGAGCAAGAACAAUAUUUCAGCAGAAGUUCGUACUUUGAAUCUUGAUCAAUGGCGCCCUCCAAUAUGCCUGUUGUUUGCUGCAGUUGCAGUGGUUGUUCCAGUAACUCAGGGAACUCUCAUCGGCAGUUUUCUUAAUCUAAUCCAAGUCCAAGGCACCGUCUAUUGCACUGCCAACGGCAAUGCCACUGUCAGUUCAGGUGGCGUCAAUAUUACAAGCCCACCAUUCCGAUGUAAGAUGAUCACUUACCAAUUAAUGCAACAACAUAAGCCAGUACUGACGAUUUAUGCAUGUUGAUUGAUCAUCAGGCUAGAAAUAUCCAAAUCUUGUAAAAUAUAUAUUGACAUUGUUAUGCUGAUCUCUCUUUUACAUGCAUAUGUACUUUGGUUUCGACUGUGAUUACCAACUUGGCCGGACAGUUCACAAUCGUUUUGAACACUCUGCAAUAUACAGUCGCUCAAUUAGUAUCCAGCUGCCGUGUUGUGGUUACCACACCACUUGCGAGGUGCAACUCCACUCUGUCUUCAACCGGAACUCUCACGUCGAACUUAACAUCAAACGGAACCGUCGGCAUCGGCAUCGUCAAUGUCAACCUUGUCACUCCGAUUAGCUUUCCAGUCUCCGCGUGACCCUAAUUCUGUACUUCAAGUGAAUAACAAUAUGGCCUACCUAUAUCUGCGUAUACUUACUGCUAAUUAUAUAAAUAAAGAUCACUUAAGGAGACUGGUAUAACAACCAGCUGAUCAAUAUUACUCGUUAUAAUUCAAUCAAAAUAAAAUAUAAAAAAAAGGAAAAAAGAAUAUUACUCGUUAUAAUUGUUGACAGAAAGAGAUAUAAUAAGCGAGCGAGGGCACAUAUAAAAUGUGCGUAAGGCAAUCAUGGCCGGGUUAUGAACCCUUUAUCUAUGGCUCCCCAAAAGCCAAUCGAUUUAUAAAGGAACCAAAUUUGCUAACCAUCAAAAUUUAGUGAUCAUGAUGACCAACUAAUCAAAUACUGCGAGAGAGAGAAAGAAAGAGAAAAGACAGGGAGAGAAGAGAGAGAGAGAUGAUUAAUUGGUUGGUCAUCAUGACCACCAAAUUUUAAUGGUCGGCAAAUUUAGUUCCAUUUAUAAAGACAAACCUUUUGUCUCAUUUGUUGCUAAAACUUAUAGGUUAUGAUUAACACUUCAUCAAACAAAGAAGCAAAGCCUUUUUGGUGAUCUGGUGAUCUGGUGAUCUGAUACUGAAUCACUUGAGAGUUAGAGGGUCAGAGAAAAAUGCAUGGAUGGGGACGGUUCGGUAUAAAGAUGUGCCCAGCUCUGUGAGACUGUACGUGAUCAUGUCAUGUGGCUCCAGAUCGAAUGAAUUAUAUGCAGUGAGGAUAUUGGUGCGUAGUAUAUAUAUAGGUGACAGGGAUUAAACAAAGAAAGAGUCCAACCAAAUUGCCUUUUGGGUCACACCAGAAAUUCACGACCAAGAAUCCUAUGCCAGGUUUUGGAUCCAAUGAUAUAUAGUUUAUGGCUUUAUGUCUUAAUUUAACUUAUAUGGAAGUCCUUCUAACGAAGACUCUUAAUUUAAAGAUUUUUCGAUUUAUUUCACCUUUUGAUUUUAUAUACACAUCUUGACCGUUUAGUUUAUAGGUAUUUAUGAGUAGAUCAUUUCUCUAAAUUUUCAGUUAUAUUGAAAAUUGUUAAGACAUUCAUAAGUAUGAUUUAUCAAUUAUGAACUUGAACUGUUCAUAUUUAACAGAUUUGGUUCAUCCAUUAAUUUGAUCUAGUUUGGUAUUUUAAUGAACACCAAUUUGGCUGAAAAUUUAUAGAAAUGAUCUACUCAUAUAGACCGAAAAGUCUUCAACUAGUCCUCAACUUAAAAGUCCUCACUAAAAGGGCUCCCUAACUUAUAUGACUUCCAUUGGCAGUAAUAUUUUCUGCCAAGAGCGACAUUUGAUCGAGGAAAUUUCUCUGUUAACUUCAUAUAUUAUUUACCCCAAAAAAUGUAAGCAAAAUGGCUCACCUUGAGUGUGUGUAGGAGGAACAUAUAUGACAAUGUUGUUAUGCGGAAGUGGUCGACGGGUCCUGAGGGUCUCACAUAUACGGGUCUAGAAAUGUCGAUAUAUACUGUCAUCAGUUUAGCCACCCAGACGAGAAACGGGUAUAGAGUUUUAACGCAAAAGGUAUCGACAUUAGUGUGUGUGGUACCAUUCCUUAUAACUCAAUGAUGACUCUCCACCUUUUAGAUGUGGGAUUCUAAAGGGGCUUUAAUCUAAACCACACUUUUCCAACAAUCUCCAACUGAAGUGAAUUGAGCCAUCUUUAAAUCUCAUGAUCCAAGUCUCAAUAGCUCAACCGUGACCACAAGCAAUUAAUUCCAAAUCUUGUGAUCCCAAUAUCCAAACGGGAGCUCCACCAAAUUGUAACUCGAUCGUAUGAGACACCAAGUCCAAAACGUCACUUGGGCUCUGAUACCAAUAGUUUUGCAGAAGCGGCCGACAGGCCCAGAGGUUCCCACACACACGAGUCCAAAAAUGCCAAUAUUGUCCCCAAUUUAGCUACUCGGACAAGAAACGGGUAUAGGGUUUUAACACAAAAGGUCUCGACAUUAGUGUGUGUGGUGUCAUAUCUUAUAACUCAAGGAUGACUCUCCACUUUUCAGACGUGGGAUUCCAAAAUGUUCAAGUCUAAACCACAUUGUUCCAACAUAUGCACUUGGAAAGUUAUAUAUAUAUAUAUAUAGUCAUAGUCAUGAAACUAUUUUCUUUUAGCCACAUCUCUUAACCAAUAUUCCCCUCUAAUGUUUCUCAAGACUUUUAUCUUGUAUGCGUACUCUAAAUUUUCGUUCAUGAAAUCAAAUACAUAUCAUUAAUACAUCAGAGACCUUAAAAACAUAUAGAGGUUUUGAAAGCUCCCGUUUUCUUAGAGCACUCAUCGCAACCCGAGGUUUCAUGCAGUGCAACAUAGGCCUUAAGGUUUUUCGGCUGCGAAUAGCUAGGUCGCUCCGGCGUCGGGCUUGGGGACCAUGCGCGUAGGGUUUGUGCCGAGAGUGGAUAUUCGAUCUUGGCUCUUGCUUCGACUUUGGAGUUCUUGAGGCGGCCUCUUUGGGUGUUUGGGUGAUGAAGAUUGGAUCAGAGUAUCAAGGAGAUUGCUUAUCUUAUCUAGGUGGAGGUUCCGGUUGUUGUUGGGAAAUUCCUAAAAAAAGAGGUCGUCCUAGUGGUUGUCAGAACAAAGCCAAGUUGUAGAUGGAAGGGAAUGAAAAAUUAUUGACGUGCAAGGAGGGUCCUUUGUCACCCUCACUGGUUACUUAGGAGUGAACCUGAGUAUGACCCUAGAGCUGGACCGUCUUGGAGUCUUCAACUUAAUUUUGGUCAUGUUCCAGUCGAUUCGGGUCAUGGCUUCUGUUGGAGAUUGUAAGUAUCUGAAUUAAGAUUGGAUUCAUGUAACUUAUGCUUAAGGAAUAUGACACGACCCACCCCGAAUUUCACCUUGAAACCCAGAGUAAGUCGUGCGGGGACCACCUCCAAGGAAAAUUUACUGAAAAGAUUAAGAAAAUCUCCCUUGCAGAUGGACAACCCUAACUCGAAAAUUUCAAAUUACACUCUUAAUUUAUCACUUCUGAACAUCGCAUAAUAUACAAAAAUUCUAAAGUAUUCAGAGCUACUAAACACAAGCGGAAGCAAGAAAACACGAGUAGGUUGAACAGGUAACCUACUGGCGAAAACUGGCAGAAAAACGGGUGACUAUGCCUCGUCUCCUACUAGAUCCAACCCGAACUCUGCAGACUGGGCAAUUUAAAACGAAGGGCCCAGGGGAAAACAUUUAAUAACGUUAGAGUGAGUGGACAAAAAUAAAAUAAUAAAUAAAAUAUUUAUGUUUCCCCAUAUUAAUUUCUAAGGAAAAAUCGAAUGCAUGCCGCAAGCGAUAAAACUUUUAUCCCAUAAAAUAUCGAGCCUCUCAGACUCUAUAAAAUAUGUAUGUAUUUACACUCGUCCAUACUCCCUAUAUAAAUUCAUGGGUCUAUAUAGGGCUACUACGCUUGCGUCCAACGCUCACGUCACGUCUUAAUGCGGUGCUACACUACGCCAUUAAGGUGGACAGACGGGUGUAUAAAUAUGUGUCCAUACCCCCUAUAUGAAUUAAACAUUCAAAUAGGGCUACUACGCUUACGUCCAACGCUCACGUCACACCAUAAUGCGGCUAUAUGCUACGCCAUUAAGGUGGACAGACACAUAUGGCUAGCUAGCAUUUCCUAUACAUACUCUCUCAUAAUUACAUAUUUAUAUUCACCGAAAAUCCCAUUUUCGGUAACUCUCUAAGAGAAAUAAAAACGUCAAAAUUAAUUGACAUCAAAAACUCCAACAAAANNNNNNNNNNNNNNNNNNNNNNNNNNNNNNNNNNNNNNNNNNNNNNNNNNNNNNNNNNNNNNNNNNNNNNNNNNNNNNNNNNNNNNNNNNNNNNNNNNNNNNNNNNNNNNNNNNNNNNNNNNNNNNNNNNNNNNNNNNNNNNNNNNNNNNNNNNNNNNNNNNNNNNNNNNNNNNNNNNNNNNNNNNNNNNNNNNNNNNNNNNNNNNNNNNNNNNNNNNNNNNNNNNNNNNNNNNNNNNNNNNNNNNNNNNNNNNNNNNNNNNNNNNNNNNNNNNNNNNNNNNNNNNNNNNNNNNNNNNNNNNNNNNNNNNNNNNNNNNNNNNNNNNNNNNNNNNNNNNNNNNNNNNNNNNNNNNNNNNNNNNNNNNNNNNNNNNNNNNNNNNNNNNNNNNNNNNNNNNNNNNNNNNNNNNNNNNNNNNNNNNNNNNNNNNNNNNNNNNNNNNNNNNNNNNNNNNNNNNNNNNNNNNNNNNNNNNNNNNNNNNNNNNNNNNNNNNNNNCCUGAUGUCGAUCUGGGGUCUCGUCUGCUCGAGUCCUACCUCACGUCCUGUUACCAAAUUAAAAUAUUUAAAUUUCCCAACCAAUAAUCCAAUAUUUAAUCAAAAUAGGCAAAAUUACCCGAGAGCCAUAAUUACGCUCAUUAUUGCCUAACUUCGAUAUUCUUACAUCGGAACGAUCCGAACUUAAAUAUCAUACUCCACAGUCGUAAAUAUAACCUCCCCAAAAUACGACUUAAAUCCUACGGCCGGAUUCUACAUUAAUUAACCGCCAAAAAUACCAAACUUCGGAAAUUCACAAACCUAUCCAAAUCUCAUCCAAAAAUUCCAUAAAUCACACCAAUAUACUCCUCUUAAUAUUCCACAUUUAAAACCCUAAAAAUCUCCUAACCGGCGGCGGCCGGCAACCGUUUUCCGGCGACCUGCAAAUGCUACCAAAUUUUAACAGAAUCUUCCUCUCAAUCUCCUCUACAACUUUCAUGACUAACACAUCACCCAAUUCCAAGCCUAACUAGGCUAAGGCUAAUCGAACGAAAACAACUUAAACACCAUAAAACUUCCACCUCAAAUUUCUCCUUACCUAGCUCAAGAGGGAGGGAGCUGUUUGGAGGGGUUGUUGCACGGGAGGAGGGUUACAAAACCGUACCAAGCUUGCCCGGAUUGGUGGCCGGAGGAGGAAGUUCCGGCGAGAAAACCGAUUCGGCAGUCGGAGCUUUCGGGUGGCACCGCUCUCUCACGGCGGAGCUAGGGCUCCUCUCACCGGUCUAGAAAUGUUGCUGGGAGGGAGACCGACUGAACGGGACCGGUCCGGCGGCGAACGGAGGUCGGACGGCGGCGGGAGGACAGCCGGAAAACCGGGCAGCGGGAGGCUCGGGGAGAGGAAAAGAAAAGAGGGAAGAAGAGAAAGGGAGGAGGAAAAGAAAAAUGGGUUGGGCCUCCACCGGUCCAACCUAUAUCAACCCACUUCAAAAAAAUAAAAACACCCCGAAAAAUAAUACCCGAAUAAAAAUUACUUUUUACUAGCUAAAAUUUACCAUUUUUACCGUCGUCGUAUUUUCCUCAUACUAAUAAUCCUCCGCACAUAAUCGUCCCCGAAACCCCUCUAGGGACCAAUUAAACUAUUUACUCAAUGAUCGAGACGGUAAAAUUCUUAUUAUAAUCAGGCUAGUAAAUAAGGUAAAAAUAUAAGGGUCGGGAUGUGACAGAAUAACUUCUAUAGUUGGAAGUGACUUUCUACUGAGUGUCACAAUUGUGUGUUUUUGGUUAAUGGGGAGUCAAAAUAUAAUUUUACCCUUGAAGACUCGGAGUUUUCUUCUUUACUCUAUAAUUCACUUCUAAUGAGAGCUCACCUUUGUCUGUAUGGAGUUCGGUUAGCUUUACUUGUUGUAAGUACUUGACUCUAGCUUUUGGUAGAUGCCAACAAUUUAGUUGAUAUUAAUUGAAUCAAUUUCUAUUCCAACAAAAAAGAAAAGAAAAAGAACAUAACAACAGUUAAGAAAGACAUUUCCAUAAUACUGCGAGAGCGUAAGGAGAGACUUUACCCUUGUCUGGCGACGAGCCAUAUCGUUGUCGUCGGACAGACUUUGUCUACCCCAUGUGGGUCUGGCGUGAGAUUAGACUCUUCGAUCAUCAGCUCGUCUGGGUCGGAGAGAUCACGGUGGGGGUCUGUUUGGUGAGAAUGUUGGAGAUCAUAGUGGCUGGAGGGUUCUGGUUUGUUCCUUAUCGACUUGGCCUGCAACGUGGUGGAGUAAGGGUGAGCGCUUGGUGGUUUCUUUGAAGUGACAUGGUCGCACUCAUAGCACCGUCGAAGGAUUUCGGCUAGGUCUACAGAACUCGAUCUGGGUCUCUUGUGCCCAACCGAGAAUGGCGCAUUUAGUGGCUUGACCCUAAUUAGACAAGUCUAAUCUUUGGUUUGUCUGUUAGAUCCAAUUCAGGUUGGGUCUCUGGUAAGGGUAAAGCUUAUGGAGGGUGCAGCGAUGGUGGAACGCCGAUGACAGGGAAUCCCAAAUGGUGGGGUGCGACAUGGAGCAGGAGAGGAAGGAUUUGAGUUGGGCCUUGUUUGGUGUUAGUGCUUCCCCUUGUCUUUGGGCUGGUGAUUGGGUUUGGGCUCACUCAUUAUUGUUAUGUACUUUGUUAAUUUGUGUGUUUUGCAAAUAAAUUCCCACACUAGUUGUGUAGGAGUAGAGUUUGGUCCCGGUGCAGGCACUCUCUGUGUCUUGUCUGUUCUAAAUUGGUGGCGAGUUCCUUGCAUUGGCAAACGGUCGCAACCUUUUAAUAACAGUAAUGUGUCUGUCGUAGUUAGGCGAUGAGUUUUUUGCUUAAUCAAAUGGUUGCUGCCUCCUAGUGGCAGGGUGAAACUUAGUGUCAUCGGAUCUAUUUUCCGAUGGCAACAUAUAGUGGGAAAGCUGAGUUAUUUUUCAUGAUGCUUCUUUGGAAUAAAGUUAUAUUUUCGUUAAGUCACCACAAAUAUAAAGCGAAUAGAGUUGUCAGUCAUACACUCUUCGUUAUUCAGUGCAUUUUAAAAUACAUGUUUGUAGUUGAGGCUUCUGUUAUUUUCUUAGGAGAUCCUCUUUAUGUGUUUUGUAAUCUGGGGUAUAGGGCAGCCGAACCGGCCCUUAUUUCUACAAAAAAAAAAAAAAAAAAAGGAAGAAGACAUUUCCAUUAACUACUAUUCUCUUCGUCUCUACGUCUCUUUCGUUCUCUGGUGACUACGAAUUUGGAACAACCCUAGCCUAUAGAAUAACAUCGUCGUCGUGGUGCAUGCAACCACGUGUGGAGGCGAUCGAUCUGAAUUUUUAACUGAACUGAGAGCUGGUGGGAGAUCCAUGGCGAAGACUAUUGAACGUCGACACUCGACAGUCGACAACAUUUAGUUUCUAUCCCCGACUACACAUAACGUGUUCAAUGAUGGAUUCAUCUAAUCCAUGAAUAGUCAACUUCACAGUCUAGCUGGGCAAGGCAUCUGCCAUUAUCGUCAUGUACUCAUUCAUGUACAGUGAUGGCCUGCCCUCCGCCCUGGCCUGGGUAAGAGCUAGAAGCACAAAUGGGUCCUCCUCGUACUUAAUGAACCUUCCUUUGCUGUAUGACGCAUAUCUAUCAGAUGUGUGCUUCGGACAUACAUGCGUAUUUUCGUUUUCCAAUCCAGAUAUCAUGCAUGCAUACAUGCUACAAGUAAAUUUGUUUUCGGGUUAGAGGUUAACCAUGAUGAUUACUUUUGUUUACCUAUGAUAAGAUCUGAG